Molecule: long non-coding RNA, 5368 nt
Organism: Homo sapiens (human)
Lineage: Eukaryota; Metazoa; Chordata; Mammalia; Primates; Hominidae
Gene: CROCCP3
Product: CROCC pseudogene 3
Source: Ensembl
GAAUUACAGGCUUGAGCCACUGCGCCUGGCCUGGUCUAGUCUCCUUUUAGAGAUGAGAAAACUGAGGCUCAGGGAGGUAACCUGUUCAAGGUCAUGAACUGUCUUGAAGACCAUAGUUGCAAGUGACAGAGCUGGGUCUCAGAUGCAACCUCAGACCUGAUACUGACUCCAGAGCUGUGCGCCUAAGCACUAGAGCACAUAGCCUCCUUGCCCCAGGGAAAGAACAAUGGGAGGUUGUGGGUGACCUCUGGGUCUCAGGGCCCUGGGAUAUAGGGACUGUGCCUUUUUUUUUUUUUUUUUUUUGAGACAAAGUUUCGCUCUUGUUGCCCAGGCUGGAGUGCAAUGGCAUGAUCUCAGCUCACUGCAACCUCCGCCUCCCAGGUUCAAUUGAUUCUCCUGCCUCAGCCUCCCAAGUAGCUGGGAUUACAGGCAUGUGCCACCACACCCGGCUAAUUUUUGUAUUUUUGGUGGAGAUGGGGUUUCGCCAUAUUGAUCAGGCUGGUCUCGAACUCCUGACCUCAGGUGAUCCGCCUGCCUUGGCCUCCCAAAAUGCUGAGAUUACAGGUGUGAGUGCCCAUGCCUGGCAGGACUGUGCCUUUUGCAUUUUCAAAUGAAGGAAAUGAGUAUUUCUUGAGUGUUGACCGUGUGUCCCCCCGGCACCGUGUCAUGUGCUGGUUAUGCACACACGAUAUUCUGUUUCAUCCCCGGACAGCUCUGUGAGCCCCCACCCCAGAGCCUGGAGUUGCAGAGGCAGCUACAGGAGGAGCAGGCCUCCUACCAGCGCAAGCUGCAGGCCUACCUGGAGGGCCAGCAGCGGCAGGCCCAGCUUGUGUGCAGCGGCUGCAGGGCAAGUACAAGAAGAGGUACUCGGAGCUGGAGCAGCAGCUGCUGGAGAGAUCCGGAGAGCUGGAGCAGCAGCGGCUAAGGGACACAGAGCACAGCCAAGACCUGCAGAGUGCCCUCAUCCGGCUGGAGGAGGAGCCGCAGAGGAGUGCCAGCCUGGCCCAGGUGAAAGCCAUGCUCCGAGAACAUCUGGACCAGGCAGGCUCGGCCAACCAGGCUCUGAGUGAGGACAUACAAAAGGUGACCAAUGACUGGACACGCAGCCGCAAGGAGCUGGAGCAGCGGGAGGCGGCAUGGAGGCGCGAGGAGGAGGACCUGCUGCAGCUGGGAGGGGAGCUGGCCCGGACAUCACGAGCUGUCCAGGAGGCGGGCCUGGGACUGAGCACGGGCCUGUGGCUGGCAGAGAGCCGGGCCAAGGCAGCCCUGGAGAAGCAGGCCCUGCUGCAGGCCCAGCUGGAGGAGCAGCUGCGGGACAAGGUGCUCCACUAGAAGGACCUGGCCCAGCAGCAGAUGCAAAGUGACCUGGACAAGGCUGACCUCAGUGCCAGAGUGACAGAGCUGGGCCUGGCAGUGAAGCGUCUUCAGAAGCAGAAUCCGGAGAAGGAUCAGGUCAACACGGACCUCACUGAGAAGCUUGAGGCCCUGGAAUCCCUGCGGCUACAGGAGCAGGUGGCCCUGGAGACAGAGGACGGAGAGGGGCUACAGCAGAGCCUAAGGGACCUGGCACAGUCCGUCCUGUCGGACACAGAGCGGCGUCCAGCUGAGCGGCUCCGAGCGCACCGCGGAUGACUCCUUCGGCAGCCUGCGGGGGCUCUCGGCCCAGCAGACCCCGUCCCCACCGCGGCGCUCCUCGCCCGGCCGAGGCCGUUCACCCCGCCGAGGCCCCUCCCCGGCCUGCUCAGACUCCUCCACGCUCGCCCUGAUCCACUCCACCUUACACAAGCACGAGCUGCAGGUCCAGGACAUGCGUGGGCGCUAUGAGGCAAGCCAGGACCUGCUGGGCACCCUGCGGAAGCAGCUUAGCGACAGCGAGAGUGAGCGGCGGGCCCUAGAGGAACAGCUGCAGCGCCUGCGGGACAAGACCGACAGCACCAUGCAGGCCCACGAGGACGCCCAGCGCGAGGUGCAGCGGCUGCGGAGCGCCAAAGAGCUCCUGAGAAGGGAGAAGAGCAACCUGGCCCACAGCCUGCAGGUGGCCCAGCAGCAGGCCAAGGAGCUGCGGCAGGAGCGGAAGAAGCUGCAGGCUGCCCAGGAGGAGCUGCGGCGCCAGCGGUACUGGCUGGGGGAAGAGCAGGAGGACGCAGUGCAGGAUGGUGUGCGGGUGCGCCGGGAGCUUGAGCACAGCCAUAGACAACUGGAGCAGCUGGAAGGGAAGCGCUCAGUCCUGGCCAAGGAGCUGGUGGAGGUGAGGGAGGCGCUGAGCCGCGCCACACUGCAACGGGACAUGCUGCAGGCCGAGAAGGCCGAGGUGGCCGAGGCGCUGACCAAGGCUGAGGGCAGAGGAGGCCUCCCUGCAGGACUCCCUGUCCAAGCUGAGCGCCCUCAACGAGAGCCUUGCUCAGGACAAGUUGGAUCUGAACCGCCUUGUCACCCAGGCCACAGCUGGAGGAAGAAAAGUGCGCCCUGCAGGGCCGGCAGCGGCAGGCGAAGCAGGAGGCCACAGUGGCACGGGAAGAGCAGGAGCGGCUGGAGGCGCUGCGGUUGGAACAGGAGGUGGCGCGGCAGGGCCUGGAGGGCUCCCUAUGAGCGGCGGAGCAGGCCCAGGAGGCAGUGGAGCAGCAGCUCCCCACGCUGCAUCAUGAGUGCAGCCGGCUGCAGGAGCAGCUAGCGCAGAAACACCCUCAAAGACACAGUGAGAAAUAAUGUCUAACCAAAUGUCUGGGCACCCCCGACCCAGGCAAAUUGACACAAAAAUUAAUUUUCACAAAUACUAUCAAUAGAAGUGACUAAUAAAUGUGGCAUCAUGUCCUGCCUGUUUAUCCCAUGACAAUUAGUAUAGUCGAGCGUAACAUUGGCUUCCGUUCCCUUAUAGUAGCAACAUGUAGGAGUUUCAUUUAAAGUGAGGAUAAUUUUGACCUUACAGAGUUUCUCCCUACCCCUAUCUACCAUUGCCACUUGUGGAUUGUCAUUUUGCCAUGACUUUCUUUUAAAAAAUAUCAAUAAGCUCUAUACUUCAGUAAUGUAAGUUUGAAUUUCAUCCUGGCUGCAUAAGUCACUUUCCAUUUUGACAAAGUCUAGAAAUAUUUUUCUCCAUCUCCUUGAAUAUGGGUAAUGGAUACCUAUUGUGGGGCCCACUCUCAAUCUCAUGGUUUUAUUUUAAUUUAGUUCUCAAUAGAUAUGCCUCAGCUGCUUAAAAACCAUUGAAAAUGGCCCAUGGCCUUGUCCAUCUAACAGAGUCCAGUAAAAUCCUGACAAUGGAAUGGGGAGAGAGAAAGUGAGAACCACCAAACUCAGCACAAAACGACUGAGUUUAAACCUCUGUGCUAAGAGAUGAUCAGAGUCUAUCAUGGCUUCUAGUAGCAUGAGACCAUGUCUCACGAAUGACCCUAGGCUCCCAUGACAAUGCCUACCUAAGAAAGCUCAAGGCUGCCAGGGGAACUUACUUUAGUCUAGCCAAUACUUGAUGAUGGCAGUUUCAGGAUCUUUCUUUCUUAUAGCACUUACUAAGAAGGGAAUCCUUCCUCCAUCCCUUUGAUAUAUGUGUGUAUCUCCUAGGGACUUCAAUGUAUCUUUGCCCAGGAUCUGAAAGGCAAUACUUUUGAGGUGUAGUUCUCAGGAAGGACUGAGCCUCUGUCUUCCAGUCUCUGUGGGAGGUUAGAAUCCUAACUUCUAAUAUUGCCAGCUGGCAGACACAGCUGUCCUGAUGAGGCAGACAUUUAAAAUGACCAAUCUUUUGUAAUGUUUCACUUGUGCCCUGCCCCCUGCCCUCUCCCCUGCCUCUCUCUCCCAUUAGAAUGCCAUCACCUCUGCACAAAUGCGAACAGAACCAGCCCCUUCCUCUACGGUCAGUAGUUACUGAAUAAAAUUGGUUUUCAUCGAUUUGACUAAUGUCUGAUAUAUCUUUGACAAAAUAAGUGUGAAUGAUUGUUUUUAGAGACACGGCAGCUGCAAAGAGAGGCACAGACAUGGCAGGAGAGGGAGGGGUCACCUGACCCUUCUCAUUUCAUAGGCAUCUAUUCCUGCCUGGUGUUUAUGAGCCUGAGACUUGGCAGGGCUGUCCUGGUAUAUAACUCCAUGGCUCUGCAGCAAGACUCGAAUAGGCUGGUGGUGACACUUGGUGUGACCAGUCACCUUCAAAGAUGCCAUUAAGGGUUCACAAGAAAAUGAAGGGAAACAGAAAAACUGAUUAUGAAAGUUGUUGCCUCUCCUGCUUCUUCAUACAGAGUGUGUAUGAUAUUGCUGUGUGAUGUUAGACUGCAACUUAGCCCAACAGCUGUUCUAGUAAUUGGCAGUUUCUCAUCGAGUUAAGCCUACCUGAUAAAGAAGCACGCUUACAUUUAUUGAUUACCCCCGUAAAAUGAACAAUACAUCCAACAAGGCUUCUAGCAAAAAUGUUCUUAUUAACCUCCUUUUUAUACUAAGGAAAAACUGGGUACAACACAAAUCUUCAUCAACAGAAGAAUACCAACUGUUAUACAGUCAUAAAACGAUCCCAGAAGUUCACUCCAUACCAUCAAAACCAGGAACCCACACUGAUGCCCCUGAUGGCAGAAAAUCAUGAUACAAAAAUGAGAGAAACGAGAGAGAGAAAAUGUACUAGAGUCAUGGUAGUGGGUAAAAGCCAAAGAGCUCAGUUUCUACUCAUGAUAUUCAUUAGAAGAACCAAAGGAACAUGAGCCAACAGCUGUAAGGGUCCAGGUCUGCACAAGGUGCCUGUUGGGUGCAGGGUUCUGUUGGCUCCAGUGAUAUAUCUCAGGUGGGCUAAUUUUUACGGACAUAGCCGCUGCAAAAAUCUAUCAAACAAUAAUAAAGGGAUAGCUACUUGCAUGCUAAUUUACCAUUGUAUAGAAGGGAGAACAGGCAUCAGAUUGUUUUCGUCAAAUAAAAGCAAAACCAAGAUUUAUGAAGAAAAGAGGAAAGAGGAAAAAAAAUCGCCUGGGACCUUUGUGAUUUUGCUCCCCUUGGAUAAGAGACUUGACAGAAAGCUUUCAAAGAGGUCACUGUGGCCUGUCUUCUUGAGACACACGACACUUGUUCACCACGGAAAACAAUUACAGAUGUUGGAGGACUUUAAAAUAUCCUAGUUUAGCAGUUCAUCCUAUGCCACAGAAUCUGUGUGUGAUGUCCACCAUGUCCUUCUGUGGUACACCCCUUCAGUUAAGCCAGGAGGGUGCCUCUCCCCUCAGUGGAAUAUCAUACAUCAAUGUGUAGAAAGUUUGUUGUGCUGGCAAGUAAAUGACAAAAGGGACAUUGAUAGAAUUAGGAAACAAAUUGGAAUAUGAUCUGUUACCGUUCCCAUGGAAGAUAAAUUUGCAGAAUAUACUCAAAUUAGAAGCAUUAAAUAAAUGCUGUAAUUUAAAAUGGC